CUUGGCCGGGCAGUCCUCCUCUCCCUGCGAUGCUGCAGGAGAUCCAGCUCUGUUAGCUCUAGACUCUGGAAAAGAGUGGAAGGAUCCAGGAGCCUGGGGGCGUUGUCAUGUGUCGUCGCGAGUGCCGCUCGGAGCCCGCGGGCCCUCCGCCUUCCUGGGCUUCCCAGCCCGGGGCCGCGCGCGGGGACGGCACCUCCACCCCGGCCACGGGGACGCCCUCACCUCCGGGUCGUGUCCCUUGGCUUUCUGCACUCGGGGCGGGCGCCCUCUCCCAGCCCCUGCACCUGGGACCCCGGGGCGCAGAGCUCGCGCCGUCGCCGGAGGCAGCUCCUGGGCCGACCUCCGCGGGCCCCCUCCCGCCCUCGGGGCGUCGGACCCCCGACCCCGCGACCUCCGGGGCGCGCAGCUCGCUCCGGCCGGGCCCCCGCCUCCCCGGGACGCCUCUCUCCGUCGGGGCCGCAGGGGCGCGUCGGCCGCAGGGUGGGAGCGGGACCUCCGGCCGCCCUGCCCGAGGGGCCCGCGGCUUCCCCGCCGCCCCGCCCCGCCCCGCCGCCCAAGGGCCCCCCGGGGCUGCCGCGCGAGCCCGCCGUUCGAGGGCUUUGCCGGGCGCGGUUGGCGUUUGACGGGCUCGGGUGCCAACGAGGGAGGCGUGCGGACGGCGGAGUAAGUGCCCCCGGACGCCCCGGAGCAGCCGCCAAGGGCUGGAGCCCACCCCGCGGGCCGGCGAGGCGGGCGCGCGCCCCUCGGGGCCCUCGGCACGUGCGGCUCCCACCCCCGCGCCUGGGGCGAGUUCUGCGGUCCCCGGGACACGUUGGUCGCCUGACUCUCCCCGGACAGUCCGCGGCGGAAAUUGGCUCCAGAAGUGGUGUGGGCUUCAUUGGAGGGGAAGGAUUCCCUCCCGCCCUCCGCUCGCCCCCAGCAGCGCGGGCCCCGGGUGCUGGCGGGGGGGCGGGGGCGCGGAGAGGGGGAGAGGCAGGCCUGCGUGGGUUCCCAGGAGCCGCAGGAGGCUUCCGACGCCCGCGGUGCCCGCAGAGGGCUUCUGGCGAGGGCGAGGGCGAGGGCGCGGGGGAAAGGCCGCUCGGCUUCCGCGUGCUCCCUAAGAGGCAGCGCGCCUCCGGGAGGGCCUCUCCGCCCGGGCGGCCAGACCUGGGAUCCAGGGAGCCCGGUGACGGAUGCUGCAGCCGCGGGGCUCGGGCGGCCCGGCCCGGGCACCCAGCCCCCUCCGCCCGGGGCGGUCGGGCCUAG
Molecule: long non-coding RNA, 1245 nt
Filed under: Canis lupus familiaris (dog)
Lineage: Eukaryota; Metazoa; Chordata; Mammalia; Carnivora; Canidae
Description: lncRNA (ENSCAFG00030010183.1)
Source: RNAcentral